CAUUCAUUAAAAUUGAUUCUCCCUCUGAGUCAGAUUAGUACUUGCUUUGUUCCUACUGAAACCAACAUUUUGGACUCAGCGACUUUUCUUUCACCUUGUCUUCAAGAACUUUGCGAGGAAACAGUUGCCUGCUCUGUGCCCAGCAUUCCGAUUCCACAAGACUGUGUGUGACACAUUGCUUACGUGCAUCUGUCCAAGUCAGGAUUAAAGCUGAGAUCUGAAACUCAUAUCACAGUUCAAAAUGUCAGGUUUCCCCAGAAGAGUGAAGAGUCAUGGUCUCGGAGAGAUGGACACAAGGGAGGCAGAGGACUAGGGCUCCUUCUCCCGAAGUCUUGAGUUUUAUUCCAACAACAGCCAAACUCUAUCUGGACAGGGUAAGUGUGGGAGCCUAAUGUGAAACCCAAGAAUGCACAAAAGCAGUUUUUAAAAAUUGUUGUGGAUAGAAGCCUAAAGAUUAUGAGAAAUUUUGCAUACAAGACUUUGCUGCAGACUGGCCCUCAGUCUGCCCGUUAUUCCAGAAAACUCAGCAGACCUGAUGAUUCCUACCUCCUUCACGACUUCCUUGAGGCAGCUGCUUCUCAGUGAUGUCACUAUGUGAGAAUCCAAGGGCAAAGAGGCUGCUAAGUGAGCUGGAGUCUUCUCCCUGGCACAGAGUCAGGUAAUUCAUCCUUGUCACAGGCAUGGAGACAAAGAGACCUGCUAAACUAGCAACUCCUUGUCUCACGUGGUGCUAGAAAAUAAAGAUAGAUAUGUUGAAGAAUGCAUCUGAGCAAAUGA
Long non-coding RNA from Felis catus (domestic cat), 777 nucleotides. RefSeq lists it as uncharacterized. The record is from RefSeq and is a predicted model, not a curated record. NCBI's taxonomy places the organism in Eukaryota, Metazoa, Chordata, Mammalia, Carnivora, Felidae. The transcript is spliced from 3 exons.